UCCCUGGUGGCUUAGAUUGUAAAGAAUCUGCCUGCAAUGCAGGAGACCCAGGUUUGACUCCUGGCUCAGGAA
Bos taurus (domestic cattle) is the source of this 72-nucleotide non-coding RNA. The record is from Rfam. Lineage: Eukaryota; Metazoa; Chordata; Mammalia; Artiodactyla; Bovidae.